This 563-nucleotide ribosomal RNA is filed under the name uncultured Actinomycetes bacterium. RNAcentral's name for it is "bacterial SSU rRNA". It matches the Rfam family "Bacterial small subunit ribosomal RNA", at positions 38 to 618 of the family's 1533-position model. Lineage: Bacteria; Bacillati; Actinomycetota; Actinomycetes. The record is from RNAcentral.
GGCGGCGUGCUUAACACAUGCAAGUCGAACGAUGAAGUGGAGCUUGCUCCACGGAUUAGUGGCGAACGGGUGAGGAACACGUGAGAAACCUGCCUCGGAUUUUGGGAUAACAAAUGGAAACGUUUGCUAAUACCAAAUAACGUCGGAGAGUCACAUGACUUUCUGACGAAAGGAAUUCCGAUUCGAGAGGGUCUCGCGGCCUAUCAGCUUGUUGGCGGGGUAAUGGCCCACCAAGGCAACGACGGGUAGAUGGUCUGAGAGGAUGGUCAGCCACACUGGGACUGAGACACGGCCCAGACUCCUACGGGAGGCAGCAGUGGGGAAUCUUGCGCAAUGGGCGAAAGCCUGACGCAGCAACGCCGCGUGCGGGAAGAAGGCUUUCGGGCUGUAAACCGCUUUCAGCAGGAACGAAAAUGACGGUACCUGCAGAAGAAGGAGCGGCCAACUAUGUGCCAGCAGCCGCGGUGAUACAUAGGCUUCAAGCGUUGUCCGGAUUUAUUGGGCGUAAAGAGUUCGUAGGCGGUCGAGUAAGUCGGGUGUGAAAAUUCUGGGCUCCACCCAGA